GAAAGGGGUGCUAAUACCGGAUAAGCCCACACAACCUUCGGGGCGAGUGGGAAAAGAUUUAUCGUCAUAGGAUGGGUCCGCGGUCCAUUAGCUAGUUGGUGGGGUAACGGCCUACCAAGGCCACGAUGGAUAGCUGGUCUGAGAGGAUGAUCAGCCACACUGGAACUGAGACACGGUCCAGACUCCUACGGGAGGCAGCAGUGGGGAAUUUUGCGCAAUGGGGGAAACCCUGACGCAGCAACGCCGCGUGAAGGAUGAAGGCCUUUGGGUCGUAAACUUCUGUCAGAGGGGAAGAAAUACUCGCAAGAGUGCUGACGGUACCCUCAAAGGAAGCACCGGCUAACUCCGUGCCAGCAGCCGCGGUAAUACGGAGGGUGCAAGCGUUGUUCGGAAUUAUUGGGCGUAAAGAGCAUGUAGGCGGACUGUUAAGUCUGGUGUGAAAGCCCGGGGGCUCAACCCCGGAAGUGCAUUGGAUACUGGCAGUCUUGAGUAUGGGAG
RNAcentral lists this ribosomal RNA (498 nucleotides) under uncultured bacterium. RNAcentral describes it as "bacterial SSU rRNA". It matches the Rfam family "Bacterial small subunit ribosomal RNA", at positions 153 to 654 of the family's 1533-position model. The record is from RNAcentral.